GACGAACGCUGGCGGCGUGCUUAACACAUGCAAGUCGAGCGGUAAGGCCCUUUCGGGGGUACACGAGCGGCGAACGGGUGAGUAACACGUGGGUGACCUGCCCUCAGCUCUGGGAUAAGCCUGGGAAACCGGGUCUAAUACCGGAUAUGACUCCAUGACGCAUGUUGUGGGGUGGAAAGCCUUGUGCGGCUGAGGAUGGGCCCGCGGCCUAUCAGCUUGUUGGUGGGGUGANGGCCC
Molecule: ribosomal RNA, 237 nt
Filed under: uncultured bacterium
Lineage: Bacteria
Description: partial 16S ribosomal RNA
Rfam family: Bacterial small subunit ribosomal RNA
Source: RNAcentral